This 253-nucleotide ribosomal RNA is filed under the name uncultured bacterium. RNAcentral describes it as "partial 16S ribosomal RNA". It matches the Rfam family "Bacterial small subunit ribosomal RNA", at positions 524 to 776 of the family's 1533-position model. The record is from RNAcentral.
GACAGAGGGUGCAAACGUUGUUCGGAAUUACUGGGCGUAAAGCGCGUGUAGGCUGCUUGGAAAGUCGGAUGUGAAAGCCCUGGGCUUAACCCAGGAAGUGCAUUCGAAACUUCCAAGCUCGAGUCCUGGAGAGGGUGGCGGAAUUCUCGGUGUAGAGGUGAAAUUCGUAGAUAUCGAGAGGAACACCGGUGGCGAAGGCGGCUACCUGGACAGUGACUGACGCUGAGACGCGAAAGCGUGGGUAGCAAACAGG